This 497-nucleotide ribosomal RNA is filed under the name uncultured bacterium. RNAcentral's name for it is "partial 16S ribosomal RNA". It matches the Rfam family "Bacterial small subunit ribosomal RNA", at positions 28 to 507 of the family's 1533-position model. The record is from RNAcentral.
GAGGAAAGAGGGAGGCGUGCCUAAUACAUGCAAGUCGAGCGAACGGACGAGAAGCUUGCUUCUCUGAUGUUAGCGGCGGACGGGUGAGUAACACGUGGAUAACCUACCUAUAAGACUGGGAUAACUUCGGGAAACCGGAGCUAAUACCGGAUAAUAUUUUGAACCGCAUGGUUCAAAAGUGAAAGACGGUCUUGCUGUCACUUAUAGAUGGAUCCGCGCUGCAUUAGCUAGUUGGUAAGGUAACGGCUUACCAAGGCAACGAUGCAUAGCCGACCUGAGAGGGUGAUCGGCCACACUGGAACGGAGACACGGUCCAGACUCCUACGGGAGGCAACAGUAGGGAAUCUUCCGCAAUGGGCGAAAGCCUGACGGAGCAACGCCGCGUGAGUGAUGAAGGUCUUCGGAUCGUAAAACUCUGUUAUUAGGGAAGAACAUAUGUGUAAGUAACUGUGCACAUCUUGACGGUACCUAAUCAGAAAGCCACGGCUAACUACGUG